UGAAUACGAGACGCUACGGCGUCGAAGCAGUCUAUGUCAUACUUCCAAGAAAAGCUCGCUAUGUCAUAAACCAAGAAUGCCUGUACCAUAACCGACACAGGUGGGUAGGUAGAGUAUACUAAGGGGCGCGAGAUAACUCUCUCUAAGGAACUCGGCAAAAUGACUCCGUAACUUCGGGAGAAGGAGUGCCUUAUUUCUAAGGUUGCAAUAACAAGAUCCAAGCAACUGUUUAUCAAAAACACAGGUCUCCGCUAAGUCGUAAGACGAUGUAUGGGGGCUGACGCCUGCCCAGUGCCAGAAGGUUAAAGAAGUUGGUUAGCAUUCGCGAAGCUGAUAACUGAAGCCCUGGUGAACGGCGGCCGUAACUAUAACGGUCCUAAGGUAGCGAAAUUCCUUGUCGGGUAAGUUCCGACCCGCACGAAAGGCGUAAUGAUUUGGAUACUGUCUCGGAGAGGGACUCGGUGAAAUAGACUUGUCUGUGAAGAUGCGGACUACCUGCACCUGGACAGAAAGACCCUAUGAAGCUUUACUGUAACUUGACAUUGAAAUUGGACUUUAUUUGCGCAGUAUAGGUGGGAGGCGUUGAGCAGAUUCUUGCGGGAAUCUGGGGGCCAUCAGUGAGAUACCACUCUUGUAUGUUAGAUUUCUAACUUUGGAUCCUGAUCGGGUCAGAGAACAGUGUCAGGCGGGCAGUUUGACUGGGGCGGUCGCCUCCCAAACGGUAACGGAGGCGUACAAAGGUUUCCUCUGAACGGGUAGAAAUCGUAUCUAGAGUGUAAAGGCAUAAGGAAGCUUGACUGUGAGACCUACAAGUCGAGCAGGGACGAAAGUCGGUCUUAGUGAUCUGACGGUGCUGAGUGGAAAGGCCGUCACUCAACGGAUAAAAGUUACUCUAGGAUAACAGGCUGAUCUCCCCCAAGAGUUCACAUCGACGGGGAGGUUUGGCACCUCGAUGUCGGCUCAUCGCAUCCUGGGGCGGUAGUACGUCCCAAGGGUUGGGCUGUUCGCCCAUGAAAGCGGUACGCGAGCUGGGUUCAGAACGUCGUGAGACAGUUCGGUCCAUAUCCGGUGUAGGCGUUAGAAUAUUGAGAGGAGCCUUCUUUAGUACGAGAGGACCGAGAGGGACAUACCUCUGGUGUACCAGUUAUCGUGCCAACGGUAAACGCUGGGUUGCUAUGUAUGGAGAGGAUAACCGCUGAAAGCAUCUAAGUGGGAAGCCCACCUCAAGAUAAGUAUUCUCA
RNAcentral lists this ribosomal RNA (1241 nucleotides) under metagenome. RNAcentral's name for it is "bacterial LSU rRNA". It matches the Rfam family "Bacterial large subunit ribosomal RNA", at positions 1564 to 2816 of the family's 2925-position model. The record is from RNAcentral.